UCAAUCAAGUGUCAGUGUUACAGGAGGCAAAACUAAGUCAGACAAGCCCUCUACAUUUGUUUCAUCGAGUACGACCAUUACAAAAUUAACCACUCCAAUUGUUUCGAGCGUGACUGUUCAAACGUCGACGUUGAAAACUAUUGAUGCGGCGAGAAAAAACACUUCAUCUACCACCACAAUUGUUGCUGCCCCAACAAAAGCUUCAAGUGCUACAAUCAUGAUACGAAAAACUUCAAAUUUUGAAAUGACCACUGAAGGUACUGCAGUAACUGCACCCACAUCAUCUCAGACAAGCAAAGACACAUUUGCCAAAAAAGGUGUGAAAGGGGAAAACAAGCGUUAUAUUAUUUAUGUUGGAAUCAUCAUAGCACUGACAAUGUUCGUAGCAAUUCUGCUGAUGGUCAUUACAUACUAUUUUUAUCGAAACCGAACAUUGAAACUCUCUAUUGCCAGGAAGGCAAAUAUUAGCAAAGGCAUCGAGGAAC
Molecule: long non-coding RNA, 485 nt
Organism: Dendronephthya gigantea
Lineage: Eukaryota; Metazoa; Cnidaria; Anthozoa; Malacalcyonacea; Nephtheidae
Exons: 3
Source: RefSeq, a predicted model, not a curated record